This 600-nucleotide unclassified non-coding RNA is filed under the name Bombus terrestris (buff-tailed bumblebee). RNAcentral describes it as "misc RNA ENSBTSG00005032692.1". Lineage: Eukaryota; Metazoa; Arthropoda; Insecta; Hymenoptera; Apidae. The record is from RNAcentral.
UGCAGACGCCCUCUGUGAUCCUUGCCAGGCGAAAAGGGCACGACUUUCGAAGGUACAAGGGCCUCACAGUGUUCGAGGAUCCAUCACCAGGAGGCAGCAGGUUCUUGUCGACCCACGUUUUCGGCCUAGCUCGGCGGUGGUAGAGAUACGAAUUUCGGGUCCUCGUCGGGUGUCAGGACCAUGAAAGGAGUCCCCCCAACACCGGUUUAAUACAGGAGAACCUACGAUAUUCUCCUUCAGGUGGCAGCACCUCGGCGGCGAUACUCAGAUCGGGUUGCCCUCUUUUUUGGCACGUGCACAUGCAACGCGAGUGUCGCGUCCUAGGAAUCUCCCACGAGAGUGCGGCCGGAUUCCUUCGCAAUCGGAUAACCGCUUGCGAUGCCUGUCCCGCGCGAUCAACGUUAUUGACGAACCCGAACGCAGGACGAGAUAUGUACCGUGUUAAGUUCGAUUGUGAUUAAUCGUGUUUCACAUCGUGUUUCACAUCGCAUUUCACAUUUCGCCAAUGUUUCAUAUCGAUGUAUCGUGAAUGCGAGUGCUAUCAAUGGAAUCGAACCUCAACGAAGAUCAACUUUCCAAGAAAAAUGUGAUCCUUUCUUC